Molecule: long non-coding RNA, 208 nt
Filed under: Panax ginseng (ginseng)
Lineage: Eukaryota; Viridiplantae; Streptophyta; Magnoliopsida; Apiales; Araliaceae
Description: long non-coding RNA (PGIN_LNC013327)
Source: RNAcentral
CGGCUGGAUGGGCCCAGGGGGGAAGGAGUUGGAGGUCGGUCCCCUUGGCAAAAAACCACUGUUCAUGCCACCCCUUGUUGCUUGAAGGGGUCUUGAUCGGGACGGUGCGGUUGGGGCGUUUGUUGAGUUGCCGAAGACCGGGCUCUUUUGAACCACUAACGGUGAACAGGGCAAAGAAUAGAUCGAGCCCGGGAUUGAGGCCCACCUC